CAGUCGCCGCGGUAAUACGAAGGGUGCAAGCGUUAAUCGGAAUUACUGGGCGUAAAGCGUGCGUAGGCGGUGAGUUAAGUCUGCUGUGAAAUCCCCGGGCUCAACCUGGGAAUGGCAGUGGAUACUGGCUCGCUAGAGUGUGUCAGAGGAUGGUGGAAUUCCCGGUGUAGCGGUGAAGUGCGUAGAGAUCGGGAGGAACAUCAGUGGCGAAGGCGGCCAUCUGGGACAACACUGACGCUGAGGCACGAAAGCGUGGGGAGCAAACAGGAUUAGAUACCCCAGUAGUCCCUGUCUCUUAUAC
RNAcentral lists this ribosomal RNA (301 nucleotides) under uncultured bacterium. RNAcentral's name for it is "partial 16S ribosomal RNA". It matches the Rfam family "Bacterial small subunit ribosomal RNA", at positions 509 to 807 of the family's 1533-position model. The record is from RNAcentral.